AGGGGCGCACAGUCCUAUGUUCCAGAACGGUACCCACCGCUGUGCCAGCAGGAGUCCCACUGAACAGCCAGACUCAAGUUCUGCUGGUUCCUGCCCCAGAAUCAACCAGCAAGUCCUGGCACUAGGACCCUGCAGACAGGGAUCCCUGAGCCUGCGCUCUUCAGGGGGAGAUGCACCAUUUCACAACUUCAGCAAAAGCCACAGCAGCCAGCAAAGCAUGGCCACCUUGGCUCUGCAGGGCCCUGCCUUUUGGACAGCUCACCAGCCACUUCCCAGAAGCAGAGGGUGCCGUCUUUUCUCUUCUUCAACCUACGUCAUCAUCUGAUCCUAACGGAAAUCAAUCUCCUCAAGUCACCACGCAAAGGCGUAUCCAUGGCAACCUCCAGAGGAAGGACACAGAUGAUGCUCCAGUGGCUGCAGCAGGAAAAGGGCUGCUGGGAAAACAGCACACAGGACAGUGCCCAGCAGGAAGUGCUCAAUCUCGGUCAGCCCUUACAAUGAGGGAUGGAUGGAGGAAGGCUACUAAACACUUCCGGUGAUUCUCGCAGGGCUGCCCUUUCCCUUCCUCUCGGCAGCUGUUCCAUGCUUCCUUGACCGCUCUCGUAUCCCUGUCCCUGCCCUUGCCCACACUCCUGACCUCCCUGGUCGACAGAUCGCUUUGUGGAGAAAGGAAACUGAGCCUAGCAGGAACCCCGUGGCCCCAUAUGUGCUCAGGGGGUGCUUUGGACGCUCCCAGGCAAGGCAGGGGCCCCUCGCAGCCCCCCGAGGAACGCGGCGGCGCAGGCACCCUGACCCCGGGCCGAGCUCAGGCCGGCCCGACAUGAGAAGUGCGCGCCGAGCGCAGCAGAUGAGACAUCCAUCAGGCACAAAGUUGGACACCUGGGGCGGGAUUUGCGCACGCGCACUGUACGCGGGGCGGCGAUGAGGACCGCAGGAGAGGUGGGCUGCGGCGAGCGCCCUCUAUCGGCGGAAAGAAAACAGCGCAAAAGAACCGAAGGACGGGUUCGUUCCCCGGGGUGGCUAAGGUUUUGAACACUAAACUGUAACUAAAGCAGUAGUGAUCAACUGUAUCCCGUCGGUUAGCUUGUGGGAGAAUAAAUGUUGCUGCUACUCAAUCUCAUUCAUCAAGUGGAGAAAGAGGAAUUCUCACGCACCGCUGAUAGAUUGUAAAAAUAACGCAAAUUUACACCAGGGCAUUUUCUUUUUAAUUAAAAUUAAACAAAGGUGCAAAUUUCUUGACAUAAUGUGCCCGCUUCCAAUAAUAUAGUCUGAGGAAAUAAACGCACAGUCAUGCAAA
Echinops telfairi (small Madagascar hedgehog) is the source of this 1297-nucleotide long non-coding RNA. RefSeq lists it as uncharacterized. The record is from RefSeq and is a predicted model, not a curated record. Lineage: Eukaryota; Metazoa; Chordata; Mammalia; Afrosoricida; Tenrecidae. The transcript is spliced from 4 exons.